AAGAGAGACGAGGCAGACAUGAGAGCCGCCGUCACAGCCACCUUCCUGUAGGAGAACCUUGUGCUAAGAGGUCCUGCCCAAGGCCCUGUCACGUCCCAUGGGAGUAGAUCGUCGCGAGGUUAAAAAGCACGUCAAACAAAAUUACGAGGAAGAUGGCGCCACAUUCGACCCGCCCGACUGACCUGCAAGAUUCCACACCAUGGACUGGCAGUUGAAGAGCCAGGCCGCGAGAGAAGGGGGGGCGUUCAUUUCGCGGAGUUUGUUUCCGAAAAG
Molecule: non-coding RNA, 273 nt
Organism: Penaeus vannamei (Pacific white shrimp)
Lineage: Eukaryota; Metazoa; Arthropoda; Malacostraca; Decapoda; Penaeidae
Source: RefSeq, a predicted model, not a curated record